Molecule: ribosomal RNA, 245 nt
Filed under: uncultured bacterium
Lineage: Bacteria
Description: partial 16S ribosomal RNA
Rfam family: Bacterial small subunit ribosomal RNA
Source: RNAcentral
UAGGGGGCAAGCGUUAUCCGGAUUUACUGGGUGUAAAGGGAGCGUAGACGGAGCAGCAAGUCUGAUGUGAAAAUCCGGGGCCCAACCCCGGAAGUGCAUUGGAAACUGUUGAUCUAGAGUGUCGGAGAGGCAAGUGGAAUUCCUGGUGUAGCGGUGAAAUGCGUAGAUAUCAGGAGGAACACCAGUGGCGAAGGCGGCUUGCUGGACGAUGACUGACGUUGAGGCUCGAAAGCGUGGGGAGCAAA